Molecule: ribosomal RNA, 573 nt
Filed under: uncultured bacterium
Lineage: Bacteria
Description: bacterial SSU rRNA
Rfam family: Bacterial small subunit ribosomal RNA
Source: RNAcentral
AAUAAUUAGUUUUUAGUUUUGUUUCUUUUUGAAAAUAAAUUAUCUAGAUUUAAAAAGAUUUUUAAUCGAUUGCGGACAAGCUCGUAUAGGAUUCAGAUUGUUGGUAGGUAAGGCCUACCAAGUCGAUUAUCUUUAGCUGGUCUGGGAGGAUGGUCAGCCACAUUAGAUCUGGAAAACGUCUAACUAUCGAAGUGGUAGCAGCAGUGGGGAAUCUUGGACAAUGUGUUAACACACGAUCCAGCAAUAUCUUAGAGACUAUGAAGGUUUGAGAGAACUGAAAGGUUUAGAAUAAUAAAAGAACAAGGUAUUUCUUGACUUACUUUUAUUAUGUAAGCUCCGACUAAUUUCGUGCCAGCAGUCGCGGUAAGACGAGAGGAGCAAGUGUUAUUCGUGCUGAUUGGGCGUAAAGGGUAUGUAGACGGUUAAAUAAGUUUAAAGUUAAAAACAAUGAGCUUAACUCUUGAGAAGCUUUUUAAUACUAUUUAACUUUGAGUAUAUUAGAAAAUAGUGGGAUUUUUAGAGGAAAGGUAAAAUUUUAAUGAUUUUAACGGAGACCGAAGCUUGCGAAGGGCG